AACGGGUGGGCGCUAGUUGUGCGAACCUUCCACGGUUUGUGCGACGCAAGCUAACGCAUUAAGCGCCCCGCCUGGGGAGUACGAUCGCAAGAUUAAAACUCAAAGGAAUUGACGGGGCCCCGCACAAGCAGCGGAGCAUGCGGCUUAAUUCGACGCAACGCGAAGAACCUUACCAAGGCUUGACAUAUACAGGAAUAUGGCAGAGAUGUCAUAGCCGCAAGGUCUGUAUACAGGUGGUGCAUGGUUGUCGUCAGCUCGUGUCGUGAGAUGUUGGGUUAGUCCCGCAACGAGCGCAACCCUCGUUCUGUGUUGCCAGCAUUUAGUUGGGGACUCACAGGAGACUGCCGGGGUUAACUCGGAGGAAGGUGGGGAUGACGUCAAAUCAUCAUGCCCCUUAUGUCUUGGGCUGCACGCAUGCUACAAUGGCUGGUACAAACGGCUGCGAUACCGCAAGGUGGAGCGAAUCCGAGAAAGCCAGUCUCAGUUCGGAUUGGGGUCUGCAACUCGACCCCAUGAAGUCGGAGUUGCUAGUAAUCGUAGAUCAGCAACGCUACGGUGAAUACGUUCCCGGGGCUUGUACACACCGCCCGUCACAUCACGAAAGUCGGUAACACCCAAAGUCAGUGCCC
This 629-nucleotide ribosomal RNA is filed under the name uncultured Actinomycetes bacterium. Its description in RNAcentral is "bacterial SSU rRNA". It matches the Rfam family "Bacterial small subunit ribosomal RNA", at positions 804 to 1435 of the family's 1533-position model. Lineage: Bacteria; Bacillati; Actinomycetota; Actinomycetes. The record is from RNAcentral.